UACGGAGGGCGCGAGCGUUACCCGGAUUUACUGGGCGUAAAGGGCGUGUAGGCGGCUUGGGGCGUCCCAUGUGAAAGGCCACGGCUCAACCGUGGAGGAGCGUGGGAUACGCUCAGGCUAGACGGUGGGAGAGGGUGGUGGAAUUCCAGGAGUAGCGGUGAAAUGCGCAGAUACCGGGAGGAACGCCGAUGGCGAAGGCAGCCACCUGGCUCACUGGUGACGCUGAGGCGAGAAAGCGUGGGGAGCAAACCGG
RNAcentral lists this ribosomal RNA (253 nucleotides) under uncultured bacterium. Its description in RNAcentral is "partial 16S ribosomal RNA". It matches the Rfam family "Bacterial small subunit ribosomal RNA", at positions 524 to 776 of the family's 1533-position model. The record is from RNAcentral.